Molecule: long non-coding RNA, 1148 nt
Organism: Micropterus dolomieu (smallmouth bass)
Lineage: Eukaryota; Metazoa; Chordata; Actinopteri; Centrarchiformes; Centrarchidae
Exons: 3
Source: RefSeq, a predicted model, not a curated record
UGAAAAGAUCCUGUUACUGGAACAUACUAAAACAUUACAUUAUCUACUAAACAAGACAUUUUCAAAGCUUGAUCCUUUGUCUCUUUUCUCCCGGAUCGAAUGGGCCCCUCUGACAAAACAACUGACCCCAGCAAGGCCCCCUCAAUAAAAUGGGUCUAGAGCCGCCACUGUCCCCAUGACUCCUGACCCUGUGAUGUCACUAGCUAGGACAGAGACUCGUAACGGUUUCUGACAAAAGAAGAAAAUAUUCAUCUGGACGUGAAAACAGACAGAAGAGGUUUGAAGAUGAUGACCCUGUGAUGUCACGAGUCUCUGACCCAGCUAACAAGUAACGGUUUCUGACAAAAGAAGAAAAUAUUCAUCUGGACGUGAAAACAGACAAGAGGUUUGAAGAUGAAGGUAUGGAAGUUGGAUGGCUACAUUUUCUGAUGCUCUAUGGUAAAAAAUUCUGGACUAAACAUUAGUCUUAGCUUCCACCAACUGUGCUAUUAUUGCUAAUUCACUAAAAGUCCUACAUUAGCCUUAGCUGCGGCCAGCAAUGCUACUAUUGCUAACAUGCUAAUUCAGUAACUGUCCUAUAUAAAAAUUCUAUUAUUGCUAACAUGCUAAUUCACCCAAUGUCCUACAUUAGCCUUAGCUGCUGCUAACAAUGCUAUUAUUGCUAAUAUGCUAAUUCAUGAAACGUCCUACAUUAGCCUUAGCUGCUGCUAACAAUGCUAUUAUUGCUAACCGUUAACAACACAACCCCUGUGUUACCAGCUGGUUCCAGUUGAUAGUGUUGGUGUCAAACGGUCGUAUAACAUCACAAAGUUAAUAAUUUUAAUGGUUCAGCUAAUCGAUUAUCUUUCUUACCUCUGAGGAGCUGGGAUCGUCACACCUGCUGUAAUAAAACGUUGGUCCAGUUUGAUGUGAGCCGUCCUCUUCCAGGAGCUGUUCCAGUCUCAGAAGCUCAUCUGCUGUCGGUCAACCAGUGUCUCAGUCCAGAUCAAACUGAACCAGGUUCUGUUGUGGAAGCAUUUUCCUUGGAUGGUUUGGGCUCUCAGACCGUUUACAGAAAGUUCUGGUGUGAACAGUAAACGAAGACGUCUUUUGAUGGGAACGAUACAGAGAAGAUUGGCGGGGUCCCCUGAGCUAACUAAAUAGGAACG